GACGAACGCUGGCGGCGUGCCUAAUACAUGCAAGUCGAACGGUUAGUUCCUGCCUUUGUCGUGCGCUCGAGUGGCGAACGGGUGAGUAACACGUGAGUUAACUGCUCUUUAAUCUGGGAUAAAUUCAGGAAACUGGGGCGAAUACCGGAUAUGAGCUCCCGCUGCAUGUUGUGGGUUGGAAAGUUAGGGUGGUUGGGGAUGGUCUCGCUGCUUAUGAGCUUGUUGGUGGGGUAGUGACCUACCAAGGCUUUGAAGGGUAGCCGGCCUGGGAGGGUGACCGGCCACAUUGGGACUGAGGGACGGCGCAGAAUGCUACGGGAGGCAACGGUGGAGAAUAUUGCAGAAUGGGCGGAAGCCUGAUGAAACGACGCCGCGUGCGGGAUAACGGCCUUCGGGUUAUAAACCACUUUCGCAUGUGAUGAAGCGUGAGUGACGGUAAUGGGUAAGAAAGCAACGGCUAACUACGUG
RNAcentral lists this ribosomal RNA (468 nucleotides) under uncultured bacterium. Its description in RNAcentral is "partial 16S ribosomal RNA". It matches the Rfam family "Bacterial small subunit ribosomal RNA", at positions 28 to 507 of the family's 1533-position model. The record is from RNAcentral.